AAUCUCCUCUGAAACAAACAACCGUAGGCCUUGAAGGGAUGUGAACGGUUAGAGAUGGUCCACUCUCCAUCAAGCCUAAAGGCGAUAACCACGAGAAAUUAUAACCCUGCGUAUCUGCGAUUUUGGCCCUUUUAUACGGAGCAGCUGAUAGCCUGAGAGUAGGAUCAGGAUACACACACAGAGGGAGAGGAACUUCCAGCAAGUCUGCAACCAUUGUAUCAUUCCCCUGUUUUUUCUCCCUCUUUUGGUGGUUUUUGUCCUUCACUAGAGUCCCUACGGCUAUAUAUGUCCACACAGCCCUGAGAGACGUCGCAUUUGAGAAUCGAGAGCGAGGUGAAGAGUUCCACAGCGUUCUGCUCGGAUUUGCUGCUGUUUUUACUUGCCAUGGGCUUGGAGGAGGGAGUUCCAAACCUGCACGACUUAAAAGAAAAAGAUCAUCAAACAUUGACCUUAAGUGUGCAUGCUUUUUCUGACUUAACCUAUGUUUCUCCUAUAGUAUUUUUAUACCUCCUGAAAGAAUGUUAUAUUCAUGGCUCAUGUAAGGCAACAAAAAAGUUUAGAGCUCUUCAGCAACAAGUUUAUCAGGCACUAUAUAAUUCUCCCCAACCAGGACCUGCCACUUUCGUUAUUCAAUGCCUGCAUGUCCUGCCCAUUUUUGGAUUAUAUUCUGAAGGGUUCAGUCACUUGAUUGUAUCUGCUAUUCGUCGUUUUCUAAAACUAGCACCAAGCUCAGAAGACACCUUGCAAUCAAAAGUUCUAGCAGCCAAUUUGUUUGUAGAUACUGUGGGAGGCUUAGUUGAUCAUGAUGAGAGGAUAGUUGUCAAGAUACUUGAAGGUUUUGAUGUCAAGUUGAUACACAUUGAGGAAGCAAUGCACCGACUAAAGGCCCAAAAUGAUAAUAGGUUUGACACAGCAAAAACAUUUGUUGAACAAUAUAUUUUUAAGUUGGUAGAAUCUCAGUCAUAUAUGACAGCAGUCACUCUGCUAGAACAUUUCUCUAUCCGCCAGUCUGGGCAGUCUUUCCUUCUCAAAAUGAUUGAGAAUAAAGAACUUAGGGCAGCUGAAAAAUGGGCAACAUUUAUGGGGAAGCCAAUGUUAUGUUUACUUGUUAAGGAGUAUGUUGAUAGGAACAUGCUAAAGCAUGCGUAUGAGAUUAUAAAGAAAAACAAUCUGAAGGAAGAAUUUCCAGAUGUCUACCAUAAAUGCAAAGAAAGAUCAUUGAAGAAUUUAGCAGAAAAGACAUUAUGGGAUCUUGCAGAGGCAAAGACACAUGGUGACAGGCAGCUUCUUGAAUAUUUGGUUUACUUGGCAAUGGAGGCUGGUUACUCAGAGAAGGUUGAUGAACUCUGUGAUCGUUACUCACUUGAAGGUUUUUUGAAAGGCAAAGAAGCAGAACUUGAGGCCUGUCUCCCACAUGAUAGAUACUUGCAACUUGAUGAAUUAGUUGUUGAUGAUCUUGGCUGGGUUGAUGAAGUUGAUCGUCUGUGUGAUGCUACAAGCCACAUUGAGGGCUGUAAAGUUGUGGGUAUUGAUUGUGAAUGGAAGCCCAACUAUGAGAAAGGCAGCAAACCAAACAAGGUUUCUAUCAUGCAAAUUGCUUCUGAGGAGAAAGUUUUCAUCUUUGAUUUGAUAAAGUUAUUUGAAGAUGUACCUGAUGUUUUGGACAACUGUCUAAUUCGGAUUUUGCAGUCUCCUAGAAUUCUAAAACUUGGUUAUAACUUUCAAUGCGAUAUAAAACAGUUAGCUCAUUCAUAUGGAGAAUUGAAGUGCUUCAAGCACUAUGAAAUGUUAUUGGACAUUCAGAAUUUAUUCAGAGAACCUCGAGGUGGUCUGUCAGGGCUUGCAAAGGCUUGUUUAAUUCGCAAUCUUGUUCUACCCAUUGUUGUUUUACAUUCUUUCAAAUCAGAAAAUAUUGGGAGUGGGUUUGAAUAAAAUGAGACGGAAUAGCAAUUGGGAGCAACGGCCUCUGAGUCGGAACCAGUUGGAGUAUGCUGCACUUGAUGCUGCUGUACUUGUUCACAUAUUCCAUCACAUUCAUAAUCAUCCUCAGCCUGCCAGCGUCCCCGAGGGGCAUGACAAAAUUGAGUGGAAAUCCUAUAUUGUUUCUCACAUGGAUAACCCAAAAAAACCAAAAAAAGGGCCUAAAAGUAAGAAGGCUUCAGAAGGGGAGAUCGACCAGCAUUGGCAAAAAAGUUAGCGGUCUUGGCGUAUUUUUCUUGGCUAUCCCAUUUCACAAUAAGUAGGCCUUGUGUACAUAUGCGCAUUCAGUUUAAGAUGUUAGAUUUUUCAAACAAUUUUCUAAAAUCGUAGGACUACUUUAACCUCGUUUUUUUUUUAUAUGUAUAUACUGAGAAAACUAGAGGAAAUGAAACUAAGGCUGUAUAUCUCUUGGAAAAGUGAAUAUUUAGAAAGGUCGUUUUGGAACUUGAA
Molecule: RNA transcript, 2430 nt
Organism: Manihot esculenta (cassava)
Lineage: Eukaryota; Viridiplantae; Streptophyta; Magnoliopsida; Malpighiales; Euphorbiaceae
Exons: 11
Source: RefSeq, a predicted model, not a curated record